RNAcentral lists this long non-coding RNA (948 nucleotides) under Eucalyptus grandis. RNAcentral describes it as "long non-coding RNA (EGRA_LNC006632)". Lineage: Eukaryota; Viridiplantae; Streptophyta; Magnoliopsida; Myrtales; Myrtaceae. The record is from RNAcentral.
ACCGGGCGAACUGGACGGUCGCGUGGAAUUUCGGCUGGAGGUUUCUUCUGGUCGAAGCAACUGGGAUCCUUUUUUUCUUGGGGCCGUUGGGUUUCUUGGUCACGUUCGGCAUUGAUCGAAGCUGAGGAAUUCCGAAGGGUUCUUGGAUUCCUCAGCUUCUUGGUGCUGUGGAGAGAGAGAGCUUUAGGUCCUUGAGCUGACAUGGCGUCCGCAUCGGGAGCAGGUUUAGGCUUCAGGUACACAGCUCCUUCUACCGCGGCUCCUGUCGUAAUAAACGAAAACUGGGUGUGUUGCCAUGAGUGCCAAAAAUGGCGGCUUCUGCCAUUUGGAAAAAAUCCCUGUGACCUGCCUGAGGAGUGGGUCUGUUGCAUGCUUGAUUGGCUGUAAGUUCCUCUCAAGUGGCAUCCUUUCUUCUUGUGAUUUAAACUAGUAUCGAUAGCGCUUGAUCUGUUGCUAAUUUGAGGUGAUGACACUCGCUUAAUUCGCAGUAAAUGGGAUGAUGAAGGUUUACGUUGCUUCAUCUGUCCAAUUUGAAUGUACUUCCGACUUAUUUGCUCGUUCUCCUUGUUUAGGCAUGGCAUGAACCGGUGUAGCGUAAGCGAGUAGGAAACUACAAAAGCCUUAUACGACAUGUCUCAUCUUCUUCCUCCUAGUGCUCAAGAAAGCGCUCCUCUUACUCCUGUUUUGACGGGCGCUGAAGCUGCUGAAGACGACACCACUAGCAGCGCCUGGAUCACCAGCGCAAGCUCUGUUGGAGCAAAGAUGUCACCUGGAUCAUCCCUUUGAAUUGCAUCCUAACGGAGUGGAAAACUGAAACACGAGGUGCAUAAGGAAGAUAAGUACACUAGAAGUAUCAAAAAUUAUUUAUGGAGCUCAUUUUAGUAUCAAAAAUUUUCACUGACUUACUUAAGUGCCAAAUAGAAGAAAAACGAUUACUUAAGUGCUAAC